UAAUAAACCAGCGAUCGCUUCUGGUCGUACGUCGCUGGUCGUUUUGCAAAAAAGUCCCCCUGUUUCUUAGAAAUUAACCCGCGCUCCUACUUAAAUUUGGAUAACGUUUCGUCUUUUUGCAUAAAACACCCUGCCUCCACUGAAUCGUCGUGCACGCCCCGCCGCUCGCUGCCGGCGCUGACUCCGCAGAGGCCAAGGCAGGGGAUGCGUCGCGGCGGGCGUAUGCGCCGCCCGGGCCGAGGAAUGGGGCGCUGCCGGCGCUGACUCCGCAGAGGCCAAGGCAGGAGAAUAGGGUUUCUGGUUGUCCGUCGUAGGGAGGCGGAUCCGGAGGCGGGGUCGCCGGUGACGACGGGCAAGGCCGGAGCACGGCUUGUCGGGCAGUCGCGGCUCAUGGGCAGAAAGAAGGCAAGGAGGUGAGGGAGAAAACAAGGGAGAAAGGAGGGGCGGGGCCGGCGACAGGAGGUCGAACGAGGCGGCGGCUUGCUGUAGCAGACAGCAGCGCGGUGCAGAGUGCAUCCGCGUCGGUUGUGGCCACGAGCGUCAUGGGGACGGAGGCGAGCGGCUCGGCCAUGGACUUCUAUACAUUGGAGGCCUCGCUGCAUCAAGUCAACAUGCAAAGGAUGGGACAGAACAAAGAAAUUAAUCCUGCAAGUGAAAAGAGGGAUUCAAGGAACAAAUAAAUCCAAUAAUAGGAGAUUACAAUCCGAAUCAUCAGAUGCUUGCAUGAAAAAUCCCAAUUUACAAUUGAGUCAGGUGGCAAAACUUGCGAAUACAAAAUAAAGGGGAGGACGGGCGCCAGCGGCCGACGAACUCGGAGGCGGCGGUGACGCGAGGACGCCCGGCUGUGGUAGCGGCCGCCAGGCUCCCUGCGUGCUCCCUGCCAAGGAAAAGAAAGAACUGAGAGGAAGAAGGAGAGAGCAGGGCAACGUGCGCGAGGACGAGGAAGGGGUGGAUCGGGCGCUGAGAGCGCGCGUGGAGGACGGAGGAGGGGAGGCGGCUCGGUGGUGGCCUCGAUCCCGAUCUGGAUCGAGCUGCGGGGGGCCUUAGAAACAGCGGCAGAUGUUGAGGAAGUGUGCUGCGUGGGAGUAGUUCUCUGCUUGACAGAGAGAUGGGGGAGAAAAAGAUAGGAAGAUAUGGGGUGAGCGACUGAGACGAGGAGGAGGAUGAGAAAACAGGAGGAGGAUGAGAACAGCGGUGCGUGGGGCCAGAUGACAGAGGCCGCCCGCUCGAGACGGCUGGUUUGUCUACAG
RNAcentral lists this ribosomal RNA (1250 nucleotides) under Triticum aestivum (bread wheat). RNAcentral describes it as "partial small subunit ribosomal RNA". Lineage: Eukaryota; Viridiplantae; Streptophyta; Magnoliopsida; Poales; Poaceae. The record is from RNAcentral.